GCUCCAAUAGCGUAUAUUUAAGUUGCUGCAGUUAAAAAGCUCGUAGUUGGAUUUCGGGUGGGGCCUGCCGGUCCGCCGUUUCGGUGUGCACUGGCCGGGCCACCUUGCUGCCGGGGACGGGCUCCUGGGCUUUACUGUCCGGGACCGGAGUCGGCGAUGAUACUUUGAGUAAAUUAGAGUGUUCAAAGCAGGCCUACGCU
RNAcentral lists this ribosomal RNA (200 nucleotides) under uncultured eukaryote. RNAcentral's name for it is "partial 18S ribosomal RNA". It matches the Rfam family "Eukaryotic small subunit ribosomal RNA", at positions 588 to 795 of the family's 1831-position model. The record is from RNAcentral.